GCCUUCACUGCACCAGAAGUAUUUCUAAACAAAGUAGCGAAGGAAAAAGAAACAAAGAUUGAUGUCUAUUCGUAUUCUAUCAUUCUUUGGCAACUGAAGGAAAUGAAGCGAGUUUAUGGUGAAAGUCACAUUGAUGUGAUUCGUGCAAAUGUUGUGGCUAAUGUGAGACCUAAAUUGAGUGACGAUGACUGCAG
Long non-coding RNA from Corticium candelabrum, 194 nucleotides. RefSeq lists it as uncharacterized. NCBI's taxonomy places the organism in Eukaryota, Metazoa, Porifera, Homoscleromorpha, Homosclerophorida, Plakinidae. The transcript is spliced from 3 exons. The record is from RefSeq and is a predicted model, not a curated record.